AAGCAACCAGAAUUUGGAAUUCUUGUUUCAGUCGGAGAAGAGUUCAUGAAUUCAGUAUCAUGAUAAUAAGAUAAUGCUACAUCGUACCCGUGUGAGUACUUUAAGCUGUGGAAGAUUUCUCACCUACGUUAUCACAGGGUUCUGAGAAGCAGUGAAGCUAAUGUUCUGAAGGAGACAAAGAAGUAUGUUGCUGUGUUCCCAAGACAAAUAUCAAAGACGUUUCAGUCCUCAGGUAAUUUACUAGAUCUGCUUCUAGAACUAUUUACUUCGAAGCUUCAGUAAAAAUGAGAGAGAUGCCAAAUGGUGUUUAGUUUAGCAGACAGACAUCUGGGCCCUUCUCCUGGAUCUGGCCUUGCUGACAGGAAAUUUCUCCUGACAAUUGCAGGGCUUUGGUGAGGUGGAAGAAAUUUGUCUUCUCUGAAGAUAAAAUUCCAAAUUAUUAUUUUUUGAAUAGUCUCCAUUAAAUUUUCUGUAGUGCACUGAAAGCUUGUCCUUGCAGUUAACAACUACUGCCAUCGCUCCACAUUUACUUUAGGAAUGAAGGCUGAAUUAUUUAAGAAUGAAGAAGGGAUUACUAGAUAGAACAAGACUGCAGAGCCCUAUUUCAUGGGGUGGCAUUAACCUCAGAGGAUCAAAUCAGUGAUUGUUAGCAAAGUGCUUCAAACAGUGACUGCCACACAGAAGGGCUUGCUUACUAACUCAAUAAAUUAAAACAAAACUGAGGGAGAAUGUGCCUUCUCUGGGGAUAGUCCUGGGACUUCUGAGAAAAUCCUAAAGGACUCAGCUAUUGCCCUCAAAGCAGGAAUUUGCAAGUGAGCUGAGCUCAACAUGCAAUAUGUAGUGAUUUCUAACUUUUUAAGCCUUGGUGGUUUGGAAGAGUAACAAAUGCUUCCAAAUGAUGUGUAGUUUCCGUCCAGAUGGCAGAAGGAAGGGCCAUCAAAUCUGCCAGGAUCCCCAGGAAAUAUAGUGAGAUAUUAUUAUCAUUGUUUUCCAGACAUGGAAAUUGAGUCUCAAAGAGGUUAGGUUUCUUGCUCAGGUUAACUCAGAGUGAGGAUUUAAGCCCACACUUCUCUCAAGCCCACAUCAAGAUGCUUCCACGGCACUACUCAAGGCAACCAGGCAUGACCAGUAGUCUCAUUAGAACAAGUAUGUAUGUAUAUAUGCAUUUCUACUUCUCUUUUUGAUCUUAUGGAACUCUGUUCCUCGUGAGACAAUAAUUCUUGUUGCAUGCUUUAAAUUGACAAAGUUCCCUUCACUGAACUAAUACUUUCCACGGUGGACUCAGAGAGAUUAUGGAGUGCUUAUUAGGUGAUAUGAGACCUAGGAGAAGCUGUUAUAUGCUUUCGGAAAAUGGGAAUUUGUAUCUUCUUUAUAAAAAAUAACUGGUUGAGUCAGGAAAUAAUUUAAAAGUUUGGUCGUAUCUGAUCAACGUUCACUCAUUUGGUAAACCUUUUUUGAAAGCAGACUUUCAUGUGAGAGCUCUACUGGGCUUGGGGAAUAUAAAAAUCAGAAACACAUGCAUCUUGUAAUGAGCUCACAACGUAGUGUAUACACAAUCUAAUUGUAUAACUUUGUUAUUCAAGGCAUUAAAUAUUGCAAAAGAAACAAAAACGAUUAACCACUGAGCUAAUGUGUUCCACCAAAAAUUAAUCUGUUUCAGCAAAAAGUUUUGUGUAUGCAUACAAAUAUAGACACAUAAAGGUAGGUAUAGGUAUUUGCAAUCACUUUCUCUCUUAUGUAUGCCAAAGUCUAGCCAUAAUGAGUAGCAAAAGGCUAGGAUAAUUUAUAUUAGAAAUAAAAAAAAAAAAGAAAUGAGAUCAAAAUACUAAUAAAAAGGUGACAAAAUACAUUCAAUUAAACUAAAUUGUACUUACACUAUAAUGACUACUAGCUACUAUUUGUGGAACAGCUAGCUAUCUGGGUCAGAAGCCAUGUAUUUUUAAUACUAUGUCUCAUUUAUUUACUUAUUAUGGGGUAUUUUUCACGUUACAACCCAACGAUAUGUUUCACUUGCUGUCUGUGACUGGCAGUACAGUAA
This is a long non-coding RNA of Papio anubis (olive baboon), 2038 nucleotides long. The record is from Ensembl. Lineage: Eukaryota; Metazoa; Chordata; Mammalia; Primates; Cercopithecidae.